GGAAUAGCUACAGUCAUCCUAUUAGACUCACCGGCCAGAGUGAUUCUUGCAGCUGCAUUUGUGUGAGCGUCUACCUAGCGAGUAUUCAGUUCCACCCAAAAGCCUGGGGCAUGUAUGGGGAGAGAGGAGUCUCAGAUCUAUCCUGCAUACAGCUGCCUCUCUGUGCACACAAGCAGCUCCGCAGUUUGCCCUGACAAGGGAAGAUCUGCAAACUUCAUUGCUUGCACUCCUGGGCUGUCACAGGAUUGGUGCCCUGAGAUAUUGUCACUGGAAUACUGUACAUCCAUUGUCACAGUCCUUUCACAAGCAGUGAUGAAGAGGAGGCUGUGAUAUUAUCUGCAACAGAACUGCUUUAAAGGUCGGUGCUCAGUCCAGUAAAGACAUCUGCGAAAGAAAAGUCUAAUCGGCGCAGUGGCGACAUUUUAAUUUCAUUGAAAAAAGGACUUUUUAAAAAAUUAUUUUGUGGCCAAUUUCCCAAGUUCUAAGCGCAGUGUUAAAGAAUAAUAAGUCGUGGCUUCUAAAUCUAUUUUUUUUUUGUUUUGUUGAUUCUUUUUGGGACCUAUGACUUAUUUAAGUCAAUUUUUUAGAGAAGCGGGUGGUUCUUUUUGAAGAGAACGCCUCGAAUAUAGAGACUCAUGAAUCGGUCUGGGAUGGCAUCGCCUGUGGCAAUGAAAGAAGGCGACCUAGAGAAGCGCAGCGACAGCUUUCUUCAGCUAUGGAAGAAGCGAAGGUGUGUGCUGACCGCCGAUGCGUUGCAUCUGUACGCAGACUCUCGGAAGCGAGGGAAGGCCAAAAUCCUCCGCUUUGACUCGCUGGUCAAACUGGAGUGUGUGGAGAGGAAAGGGGAGCGGGUAUAUUUUACCCUGGUCACAAUGGAAGGACAGGAGAUAGACUUCCGCUGCAGGGAACGCAGCCGCUGGAAUGCAGAAAUCACCCUGGCCUUGGUGGGCUUCCAGAACAGUAGAGCGGUGCAAGAGCUCAGAGCGCGCAAGGAACACCAAGCCCGGGAUUCAGGGGAUCGUUUAAGAAGUUGGGGUCCAUGAUUGAUCGACUGUUGAAAAAAACUUAAGGAGCUCAUGCAUCAGCAAUUAAUAGGGGCCAUUUCCUGUUCUGCCUUUGCCUGGGUCAGCAACUCUGCAAAAUAAAACAUGUUGGACAAUUUUGAUUCACGAUUCCGAACCCAAAUAUGAUUGGAUCCAGCAAGUCUGGAUUUUUAACAGGUUAUUCUUCCAUCUGAUGGUAUUCAGACCAAUCAGCUACUUCCUUCUGGCUUUUCUUGUAUUUUUGCAGUGGUCAGUCUGAAGAGGUUAGUUACCAAGACACUGAAGCUCGAGUUGACGCGACUGGCAGGUGAUGACAAAGAUAGCAUCUUGCAGGAGACCCAGCUGUGUCCAUGUUAAGACUAUGUGAACUUGGGAUACUGAGAAGAACAAAAUGCCUUCCCUUCUCUCACUGAAAACAAUGACCUUUAUUUCAGAGGGGAUUAAAGCAUAAAUAACCUGUGUUGCUGUAGCAAUCAAGCCGCAACCAGAAGAUGCUGCAAUAGGUUUGGCUUUUCCUUCUUUCCAGUCAGCUAUGUAUUUAAACAAAAAAGUGGCUUUUUGUUUACUUUAGAGCGGUGGCUGAGUGAGCGCAGGUGCCCCCCCACCCAGGUGCUCCCCCAACCUAGUGGCUGCACCAUAGCUCUUUUUCCCCUUUUUUAAUCUUUUGGAAUAUGGUGAGUGAAACUUGUCUUUUAUGUGACUUUGAGAUAAUAAAAAAAUAAAAUAAAAACAUUAGCAAACCAUCA
RNA transcript from Pseudophryne corroboree (corroboree frog), 1789 nucleotides. It is a transcript of the gene named pleckstrin homology-like domain family A member 2, with no coding region annotated. The record is from RefSeq and is a predicted model, not a curated record. NCBI's taxonomy places the organism in Eukaryota, Metazoa, Chordata, Amphibia, Anura, Myobatrachidae. The transcript has 3 exons.